This 262-nucleotide long non-coding RNA is filed under the name Elaeis guineensis (African oil palm). RNAcentral's name for it is "long non-coding RNA (EGUI_LNC063951)". Lineage: Eukaryota; Viridiplantae; Streptophyta; Magnoliopsida; Arecales; Arecaceae. The record is from RNAcentral.
AUGCCAAUUAAGUCUAAUUUUAUUGAAAAAAAUCAGAUUAAAAAGAUAAAAUUUUUUAUGAGAUAAGGAUAUACUUUUUUAAGUCAAUUGGAUUCCUCUUUUGAGUUAAGGUAGAGCCUAUAUAAAGAAAAGGCCUCUUAGGGUUUCUAGUUAGUUAAAUUUUUAUGAGACAAAAACUCCCCCUCUCCCUUCUCCAUGCCUCCCCUCCUUCCUCUUCUCUUUCCCACACCCAAAGGUUGGGCGUUCCACCUUCCACACGCUA